GGCAUGUUGUCAAAUGAAAGUCCUUUAUGGUAGCUGGACCGUGUGAAGCCAUCUCUGUCCACAAACAAGCCAGGUGUCCUCGACAGACCCGAGGAGUCCCUCUGGGGGAGCAGCUGAUACGACUUGCUAAACAUUCUCGUGCUCAUAAUGUGCUCGUUACCGCCAACCAACGUCGCUGAGGUGAAACGGGAGUUUUAAUUCCAGGACAUUACAGCUGGCUCCAGUUUUGCACAGGUCUCAGCAGUCAGCAGGCUGACCAUGAAGCGGUGGUUGUUACUGGGGUUGCUGCAGGGCUGGGUGGUGGCAGAGGUGGUGACAGAGGAGGUGACCAGAGGUCUGCAGAUGACCGAUGAGUAGGGGGCAGAUGAGGUGUUUCCUAUCACAACAAUCAAUGGCUCACCUGCUUCUGUUCCAUUUGUGAAGUUGUUGGAGUUUUCAGAAGAAAAUGUGCUCAUGUGGUCCUCCAUUUUGACAGGUGUUUUGUAAUGACUGAACUUCACUUAAUA
Molecule: long non-coding RNA, 506 nt
Organism: Acanthopagrus latus (yellowfin seabream)
Lineage: Eukaryota; Metazoa; Chordata; Actinopteri; Spariformes; Sparidae
Exons: 4
Source: RefSeq, a predicted model, not a curated record